UUAUAAAGCAAUGGGAAGAUAUGGGGAGGUACAGCUAGAACAGGUUCAGAAGAGGUUGAAGCUGCCUGAACAGUGAAGGCAAAGAUUUUGGAAGAACAGACUGAGGAAGGAGCUAAUGAUACUCCAAAAGAGGAUCAAGUCCUUCUUUGGAAAUGCUUAAGCCUGGGGAUCUAUCCUGAGACAAGAUAGUUUGGGACCAUCCUGUCAAGAGAGAGGUUGGGACCAAGAGGAAGCUCUUGAGUCAUCACUGUGGUGCUCUGCUAUCACCAGCUAUCUUGUGGCAUAAACCUUAUCCUGAAUUGGUCAAAUUUAAUAACAAACCAGGUGAUGGAUGACCCUUCUUGGCAGACCCAGCAAAACCCAUCCUGCCUUGAGGUCCUAUAGAGUAAUGGAUCAUAAUGAGUAGAUAAUUAAGUCUGAUAAAAAACUUAAGAAGGUGAAAACAUAUUUCCCUGUGGCUGAUCCUUGAUUUUAUGUGAUCUUGAAAAGCCUUUUUCCUUCAUCCCUUCUUACAGAAGAUCACAAAUAGCUUUGUCUCCCCUGCAGGGACCUGAACAUACUAAAAGGUCAGUGCUAGAUCAAAACAAAUAUGCUUUAAAAAAGAAGUAUUUCCCUCAGUUCCCCAUCAUGCCAUAUUAUAUCUGCAAUGGAACCAAUGCACAAUUUACCUGCAUGGUUUAUCAUUUAUCUCAGCAGACUGAAAGCAGUCAUUCUGCUCCCAUCGAGUCACUUGUUCUCGCUAGUUGAAUGCUCACUGAAGCAGUCACAGUGCCAAAGCUUGCAAGGAAAUAUUCAGACACUAAUUAACUUCUUCAUUCUGUGUGUGGGCAUGGGCUGUGUUUCCUCUGGAGCACAAUUGGUGUUCAAGAUACUUGUUUGGGGUUUCAGGGUGUUUGCACACAGUGUAUGGCUCCCUGUGUCUGUUGGUAUGUGUGUGGGACACUGCUGGCUCUAUUUGCCCGCAGCUGAUCCUGCAUGACAUUCCCCUUGGAACACACAAGUUUUCCAAUAUGGAAGUUUAAAAACCAGCCCCUUCUCCCAUUUUAUUUCAGUUGCUAGAUAAAAGGCAGCAAAUCUCAUGGCUACUCCAUCAAGCCAUCCCAAUAAAUGCUUGUGUGGCUGUAGGGUGGGAGGGGAGAUUGAUUUCAGCAUCUGUCCAACACACGUUCAGCCUGGGGCAUUACCCUCUCCAGAGGUUUUCCUUUUUGAUUUUCCUGAUAAACAGAUCUGCCUGGUGUUACUGCUGAUGCUGAUAGGAUCUUCUCAGGGAGGUAGUUUAGCAUGUGGAUAGAAUUGACAUUAGAGGUUACUAAAGUGGUUUGUGUUUCCGUGCUCAGCUUCUCCUUUACAAGUCACCUCUGCUGCGGCACAUAAGGAAUGGCUGGAAGAACAAUAUUGAGACUCCACACUGGAACUCCAUAUAAAAUGUGUCCAGGCUGUGUGUUUCUGCACGUGGCAUGAGAAGCCUUCAUAGGAAGAAGGUUCUUGAUGAAAAAUUCAGCCCUCAAAGCAUUAAGAAACACCGGCAUUAUGAAGAGCUUUUAAAAUGGCUUGGUUUGAAUGACUGUGGAAAUGGCUUUAAUAAUAAUCCAGUUUGUAAGGUAGCCUUUUGUUGUGGUUUAAACCUGGUUGAAACCACGACACCCUUUCUACUCUGAAGCUGCCUGGAUGGAGCAGGGGUGAGACAAGCCUUGUGCACACCCAUUUGUAGCUGUUUCUUCUCAUCAUUAAAGGCCAGGGCUCUUCCAAGGGAAGAAACAGGCCACUGCUUUGUAGCUAGAAAUCACAGAGAAGCCGCUCAUGCACAGUCCAGGUGGGAACUGCUGUCACCAGCCUUCAGGUGCGCUACUCUUAUUCCUUAGUAAAAAAGAUGUAGGUUCUUUAAGGAUAAGAAGACUGUGGGAGGCAGUUAAUGCUGCAGACAGAGCUGGAAGGGAUGAGUCCCACCCUGUGGGACUAAACCUUGUUUCCAGCCCCAGGAAAUGCUGAGGCACCAUUGAAGGACUUGUUGAUUCCAGCCUGCCUGACCCGGAGGCUGGAGGCCUAUAAGAAUAGAUGAAAUCAGCCCAGCUGGUGUUAUCUGCUUCGUGUAUUCCCCUCAGAGCAAGAGCAAGGUGCUGCAUGGACCCUCCCAUUCCGCUGCUGCAACAACACACAGGCUCCUACAGAGAUUUCUGCUCACCCAGAUGUUUCAAAGUACAGAUGUGUCCUUUUACAGGGGAAAACCCCCAUCCAACACUUUUAAAUCAGUUCUCCCUUGGAUUUGCUUAUCUCUGUGUGAUUUGGCAUAACACUUCCAAAAGAACCACCUAUGUAACAGAUUUGAGCAAUGAUAAGGGUAAAGCUGAGCAUUAACCUUUAAUGUUUUUUCCCCUUGUUAUGUUGCACUUAUUAGCGCAGUUAUACUCCCUGUGUGUUGAGAGAGCAGGAAAUUACACAGUAAAUGUCAGCAGAAGCUGACGUUUAGGCUUUUAUUAUCACUUGACAAAGCCAUGUAAAUCCCAUUAGCGCUAAGAGGAGUUGUAUGUGUCUGCUGGGGGUAGGGCGGGGGGAACGAGACCAUUUGCUCUCAAGUGCAUGUAACUAAUUAAAAAUUUAAGAGCAUAUAGUACAUAAUUGUAUGGGGCUGUAGGUUAAUGCUGCUGAAUGAACACUGCCAGAGCUGAAAUGCUUACACAGAACAAGGGAAGCUCUGGCUGGCUCUGCGCAGAGAAUAGUCUCUGUCUGUGAAUAGUCCUGGUGUUCACUCUCUCUGUUGCUGGGGAAAUGGCUAUAUCGCUGGCUGUGACCUUGGUCAGGAGCUGCAGGCCACAAAACAAUGCAGGGAAAGGCAAAAGGACAAGAUCUGGCACCUCCAGGCUGGUUUCACAUCCUCUGCUGUACUGAUUUCUGGCAGUGCUUUACUUGCCAAUGCAAGCAGCAGGCAAUGUCUUUAUCCCCACCUUGCUCACUGUAGG
This is a long non-coding RNA of Pezoporus occidentalis (night parrot), 2957 nucleotides long. RefSeq lists it as uncharacterized. NCBI's taxonomy places the organism in Eukaryota, Metazoa, Chordata, Aves, Psittaciformes, Psittacidae. The transcript has 4 exons. The record is from RefSeq and is a predicted model, not a curated record.